CGGCGGACCCAGAUCCCCCGCAGGGCAGCCCCUGGUGAGUCAGGGCCUGAGUCAGCGCCCUCCGCCUUCCCAGAGGCCCCGCCAGGACCUGCAGCCCUGGGCGCCCCAGCAGCCCGGCCCUGCUCAGCGCAGCUCUGGGUUGGAACUUGCAUUUUCCUGUAACUCGGACCUCCCCCAGGCCGUCUUCCCAGGCGCCACCGGGCCCAGCAGAUCGUCACCGUCCAGCAGCCAGCGGGCUCCGACUCUCGCUCUUCAGGGAACACCGCCCUUGGCGCCACGCCCACCUCCACCCGCGGCCACCUUCCCUCCCUCCCACCGCCAGACCUUCAAGACAGGAUCUACCCCGGGCGGCCCCCAGCACAGGUCUCAGCCCCCUCCAGACUGGGGUUGUCGCCACCCUCCACUGAAAUGGCGGCAGCCAGCUCCCUCCUGCCGCAGCCGGUGGCAGCCAGCUCCGGGCCUGGCUGGCCCCGCCCACCCUGUGUCUCGAGUGGCACCCACGGCGCUGUUCCUGUCCCGCCUGUCUUCUCGUGACCUCAUCGGGCUCCAGACUCUCACAUGUUUACGCCUUCAGCCCUGCCCAGCCCUGGACCCCAAGUCCCCUCCAAUAUUUCUUUUUCCUUUCUUGUAUUUAUUUAUUUAUUUAUUGAGAGAGUUUCGCUCUUGACGCCCAGGCUGGAGUGCAGUGGCGCGAUCUCGGCUCACCGCAACCUCCGUCUCCCCGGUUCAAGCGAUUCCCCUGCCUCAGCCUCCCAAGUAGCUGGGAUUACAGGCGUGUGCCACCACGCCCGGCUAAUGUUGUAUUUUUAGUAGAGACGGGGUUUCAGCAUGUUGGUCAAGCUGGUCUCUAACUCUUGAUCUCAAGUGAACCACCAGCCUCAGCCUCCCAAAGUGCUGGGAUUACAGGCGUGAGCCACCGCGCCCGGCUAUCCCCUCCAAUAUUUCCGAGGCCAGCUGCCCAGAGAGGAGGGCUGGGUGGAGAGGACCGUGCCAGCAGCAGUAGGCCUGGGCCAGGAGACAGGCACGCACCCCCGCGGUCUCUGGCGAGUCUAUGUCCACACAGCGGCAGGACCUCCACCCCCAGCCACCUGCAGCAGCCCCACAUCUCCACCGGGUCACCCUGCUGACAUCAAGAAUGCCUCCCCCAAUGUCCCAACCCAUGAGGGCUUCUUGGAGCUGAACCAGGGCACCGGCCACUUCUGGAGGGGGGCUGCUCAUGACUUCCGACCUCUGUCUCGCUAGUUGGCAUGAGAAGACUGGACUCCUUCUGCAGGCCUCAGGGCAGAGGCAGAUGUCAGCCCCCAGGGAUGUCACUGCCAGAACCCCAGAUGCCCCAAGUCAUCCGGACUCCCCCUGUGCAGUAUCUCUGCUACAAUAAAAUGUACCCAGAUCUGAGUCCUCUCACCUGGGCGACUGCCAAUGUCCCCUGCGGCCCUAUACCCCGCCCCCAGGAGCUCAGAGGAUCUUUCUUUUUAAAGAUAUUCAGACCUCACAGAUAAGUCUGCCCUGACCAGCCCCUCCCCAGUUCCCAGGCCCUAUCCUGACAACGGCCACAACUUCAGAGCAGCUGAAACCUGCUGUGAGUGAAAAAUGAGAAGCUGUUGUUUUAAUUUUACUUUCUCUGAUUACUAAUGAGGUUAUUUCUUCUCUGCAUAAAAACUUCAUUCGUGUUUAA
Gorilla gorilla gorilla (western lowland gorilla) is the source of this 1675-nucleotide long non-coding RNA. RefSeq lists it as uncharacterized. NCBI's taxonomy places the organism in Eukaryota, Metazoa, Chordata, Mammalia, Primates, Hominidae. The transcript has 2 exons. The record is from RefSeq and is a predicted model, not a curated record.